ACCUACGGGGGGCAGCAGUGGGGGAUAUUGCACAAUGGGGGGAACCCUGAUGCAGCGACGCCGCGUGGGUGAAGGAGCGUUUCGGCGCGUAAAGCCCUAUCGGCAGGGAAGAAGAUGACGGUACCUGACCAAGAAGCCCCGGCUAACUACGUGCCAGCAGCCGCGGUAAUACGUAGGGGGCAAGCGUUGUCCGGAAUUAAUGGGUGUAAAGGGAGCGCAGGCGGGAAGCCAAGUCAGCUGGGAAAAAUACGGGCUUAAA
This 259-nucleotide ribosomal RNA is filed under the name uncultured bacterium. RNAcentral describes it as "partial 16S ribosomal RNA". It matches the Rfam family "Bacterial small subunit ribosomal RNA", at positions 337 to 613 of the family's 1533-position model. The record is from RNAcentral.